Molecule: ribosomal RNA, 433 nt
Filed under: uncultured bacterium
Lineage: Bacteria
Description: partial 16S ribosomal RNA
Rfam family: Bacterial small subunit ribosomal RNA
Source: RNAcentral
AACGAACGCUGGCGGCAUGCCUAACACAUGCAAGUCGAACGAGACCUUCGGGUCUAGUGGCGCACGGGUGCGUAACGCGUGGGAACCUGCCCUUAGGUUCGGAAUAACUCCCCGAAAGGGGUGCUAAUACCGGAUAAUGUCUUCGGACCAAAGAUUUAUCGCCUUUGGAUGGGCCCGCGUUGGAUUAGCUAGUUGGUAGGGUAAAAGCCUACCAAGGCGACGAUCCAUAGCUGGUCUGAGAGGAUGAUCAGCCACACUGGGACUGAGACACGGCCCAGACUCCUACGGGAGGCAGCAGUGGGGAAUAUUGGACAAUGGGGGAAAGCCUGAACCAGCAAUGACGCGUGAGUGAUGAAGGCCUUAGGGUUGUAAAGCUCUUUUACCCGGGAUGAUAAUGACAGUACCGGGAGAAUAAGCUCCGGCUAACUCCGUG